This 484-nucleotide ribosomal RNA is filed under the name uncultured bacterium. RNAcentral's name for it is "bacterial SSU rRNA". It matches the Rfam family "Bacterial small subunit ribosomal RNA", at positions 30 to 507 of the family's 1533-position model. The record is from RNAcentral.
AUUGAACGCUGGCGGCAUGCCUUACACAUGCAAGUCGAACGGUAACAGGUCUUCGGAUGCUGACGAGUGGCGAACGGGUGAGUAAUACAUCGGAACGUGCCCGAUCGUGGGGGAUAACGCAGCGAAAGCUGUGCUAAUACCGCAUACGAUCUACGGAUGAAAGCGGGGGACUCGCAAGGGCCUCGCGCGGACGGAGCGGCCGAUGGCAGAUUAGGUAGUUGGUGGGAUAAAAGCUUACCAAGCCGACGAUCUGUAGCUGGUCUGAGAGGACGACCAGCCACACUGGGACUGAGACACGGCCCAGACUCCUACGGGAGGCAGCAGCGGGGAAUUUUGGACAAUGGGGGAAACCCUGAUCCAGCCAUGCCGCGUGCAGGAUGAAGGCCUUCGGGUUGUAAACUGCUUUUGUACGGAACGAAAAGGUCCUUUCUAAUAAAGAGGGCUCAUGACGGUACCGUAAGAAUAAGCACCGGCUAACUACGUG